This 73-nucleotide transfer RNA is filed under the name Canis lupus familiaris (dog). It matches the Rfam family "tRNA". Rfam says of the family: Transfer RNA (tRNA) molecules are approximately 80 nucleotides in length. Their secondary structure includes four short double-helical elements and three loops (D, anti-codon, and T loops). RNAcentral also lists the same sequence under 3 other names. Lineage: Eukaryota; Metazoa; Chordata; Mammalia; Carnivora; Canidae. The record is from Rfam by way of RNAcentral.
UCCUAGCUGGCGCAACUGGUAGAGUAUGUGACUCUUGAUCUCAGGGUUAUGGGUUUGAGCCCCAUGUUGAGUG